GUGCUCGUUUCAGCAGCACACAUACUAAAAUUGGAAUGAUACAGAGAUUAGCAUGGCCCCUGCACAAGGAUGACACGCAAAUUCGUGAAGCGUUCCAUUAAAAA
RNAcentral lists this small nuclear RNA (104 nucleotides) under Myotis davidii. The record is from RNAcentral. Lineage: Eukaryota; Metazoa; Chordata; Mammalia; Chiroptera; Vespertilionidae.